GAUGUUGCCAUAUGGAUAGCUAGUACCUUUGGGAAUGAACAGACUUGUGUUUUUCAAGCUGGAAUUGGGUUGACUGAGAUAUCGUGUAUUAAAAUAUCAGCUCCUGUCAAGAGAAUAUCUUUCAUAAGCAACGAAAUUGAAUGUCUACCUGAUUGCUUUACGAAAUGUCCAAAGACAACACGGUUGACUGAGAUAUCGUCUAUUAAAAUAUCAGCUUCUGUCAAGAGAAUAUCCUUCGUAAGCAACAAAAUUGAAUGUCUACCUGAUUGCUUUACGAAAUGUCCAAAGACAACAUCUUUACAUUUGCAAGACAAUAAACCCCUCUACAGAAUACCCCCGGAAUUCUUUUUGGCAUUUCCAGAUCUAAGAGUUCUGAAUCUGAGGGGUAACACUAGUAUUAGAGCACUGCCUUCUUCCAUCAACAGUUUAUGUCAACUACGUGCUCUAAUACUAAAAAAUUGCUCUAAC
RNAcentral lists this long non-coding RNA (468 nucleotides) under Capsicum annuum. RNAcentral describes it as "long non-coding RNA (CANN_LNC002388)". Lineage: Eukaryota; Viridiplantae; Streptophyta; Magnoliopsida; Solanales; Solanaceae. The record is from RNAcentral.